RNAcentral lists this unclassified non-coding RNA (421 nucleotides) under soil metagenome. RNAcentral describes it as "partial contains 5.8S ribosomal RNA, internal transcribed spacer 2, and large subunit ribosomal RNA". The stretch from base 1 to 120 matches the Rfam family "5.8S ribosomal RNA", at positions 35 to 154 of the family's 154-position model. The record is from RNAcentral.
GAUGAAGAACGUAGCGAAAUGCGAUACGUAAUGUGAAUUGCAGAAUUCAGUGAAUCAUCGAAUCUUUGAACGCAUAUUGCGCUCUUUGGUAUUCCGAAGAGCAUGCUUGUUUGAGUAUCAGUAAACACCUCAACCUCUUCUUGAUUUUACAAAAGGAGGGUGGACUUGAGCUAUCCCAACAACCUUUACCGGUCGGCGGGCGGCUUGAAAUGCAGGUGCAGCUGGACUUUUAUCUGAGCUAAAAGCAUAUCUAUUUAGUCCUCGUCAAACAGGAUUAUUACUUUUGCUGCAGCUAACAUAAAGGAUAAUUGUCCUCUUUGCUGACUGAUGCAGGAUUUUACGACACUUUAUGUGUUGUUCAACUCGAUCUCAAAUCAAGUAAGACUACCCGCUGAACUUAAGCAUAUCAAUAAGCGGAGGA